This 253-nucleotide ribosomal RNA is filed under the name uncultured bacterium. RNAcentral describes it as "partial 16S ribosomal RNA". It matches the Rfam family "Bacterial small subunit ribosomal RNA", at positions 524 to 776 of the family's 1533-position model. The record is from RNAcentral.
UACGUAGGGUGCGAGCGUUGUCCGGAAUUAUUGGGCGUAAAGAGCUCGUAGGCGGUUUGUCGCGUCGACUGUGAAAACCCGAGGCUUAACCUCGGGCCUGCAGUCGAUACGGGCAGACUAGAGUUCGGUAGGGGAGACUGGAAUUCCUGGUGUAGCGGUGAAAUGCGCAGAUAUCAGGAGGAACACCGGUGGCGAAGGCGGGUCUCUGGGCCGAUACUGACGCUGAGGAACGAAAGCGUGGGGAGCGAACAGG